GACGAACGCUGGCGGCGUGCCUAAUACAUGCAAGUUGAACGCUGAAGACUGGUACUUGUACUAGUUGGAUGAGUAGCGAACGGGUGAGUAACGCGUGGGUAACCUACCUCUUAGCGGGGGACAACUAUUGGAAACGAUAGCUAAUACCGCAUAACAAUCACUAACACAUGUUAGGGAUUUGAAAGCACCAAUUGGUGCACUAAGAGAUGGACCCGCGUUGUAUUAGCUAGUUGGUAGUGUAAUGGACUACCAAGGCGAUGAUACAUAGCCGACCUGAGAGGGUGAUCGGCCACAUUGGGACUGAGACACGGCCCAAACUCCUACGGGAGGCAGCAGUAGGGAAUCUUCGGCAAUGGACGCAAGUCUGACCGAGCAACGCCGCGUGAGUGAAGAAGGUUUUCGGAUCGUAAAACUCUGUUGUUAGAGAAGAACGUCAGUGAGAGUGGAAAGUUCACUGAGUGACGGUAUCUAACCAGAAAGGGACGGCUAACUACGUGCCAGCAGCCGCGGUAAUACGUAGGUCCCGAGCGUUGUCCGGAUUUAUUGGGCGUAAAGCGAGCGCAGGUGGUUUAAUAAGUCUGAUGUAAAAGGCAGUGGCUCAACCAUUGUGU
This 611-nucleotide ribosomal RNA is filed under the name uncultured bacterium. RNAcentral's name for it is "bacterial SSU rRNA". It matches the Rfam family "Bacterial small subunit ribosomal RNA", at positions 28 to 621 of the family's 1533-position model. The record is from RNAcentral.